Molecule: long non-coding RNA, 368 nt
Organism: Lucilia sericata (common green bottle fly)
Lineage: Eukaryota; Metazoa; Arthropoda; Insecta; Diptera; Calliphoridae
Exons: 2
Source: RefSeq, a predicted model, not a curated record
GUAAAAUUGACAGUAUUUUUUUAGUGUUUGCAAAGUGAAAACGGAAAUGAAUUAAACGCAAAAAAUUUACUGAAUAAAAUUAAUUAAAUUAAAUGCAGGCAAGCGGAGAUAACAAAAACAACUAAUUACCUCUCUCUCUCUCACUCUCCCCCACAACGUCCAUCAACCUAGCAAAAAUCUAUUUAUUAAAACAACAACAAAUUAAAACAAAAAGUAAAAACAAAACUAAAUAAAAAAGCAAACUCAUCAUCACCAUCGAAGCAAUAAGAAAUAUAUAAUAAUAACAACAACAACAAAAAUUAUAUACUAAUAAAAAAGUAUAUAGAUUUUUUGAAAAAAAAAACUGUGAUAGCUAAUAACAACAACAA